Molecule: ribosomal RNA, 216 nt
Filed under: uncultured bacterium
Lineage: Bacteria
Description: partial 16S ribosomal RNA
Rfam family: Bacterial small subunit ribosomal RNA
Source: RNAcentral
UGGGAACCUGCCUUUAGGUUCGGAAUAACUCCCCGAAAGGGGUGCUAAUACCGAAUAAUGUCUUCGGACCAAAGAUUUAUCGCCUUUAGAUGGGCCCGCGUUGGAUUAGCUAGUUGGUGGGGUAAAGGCCUACCAAGGCGACGAUCCAUAGCUGGUCUUAGAGGAUGAUCAGCCACACUGGGACUGAGACACGGCCCAGACUCCUACGGGAGGCAG